This 340-nucleotide ribosomal RNA is filed under the name uncultured cyanobacterium. RNAcentral describes it as "bacterial SSU rRNA". It matches the Rfam family "Bacterial small subunit ribosomal RNA", at positions 416 to 770 of the family's 1533-position model. The record is from RNAcentral. Lineage: Bacteria; Bacillati; Cyanobacteriota.
CUGUGGGUUGUAAACCUCUUUUCUCAGGGAAGAACACAAUGACGGUACCUGAGGAAUCAGCAUCGGCUAACUCCGUGCCAGCAGCCGCGGUAAGACGGAGGAUGCAAGCGUUAUCCGGAAUUAUUGGGCGUAAAGCGUCCGUAGGUGGUUAUAAAAGUCUGUUGUUAAAGCCCACAGCUCAACUGUGGAUCGGCCAUGGAAACUAUAUGACUUGAGUGUGGUAGGGGUAGAGGGAAUUCCUAGUGUAGCGGUGAAAUGCGUAGAUAUUAGGAAGAACACCAGUGGCGAAGGCGCUCUACUGGGCCAUAACUGACACUGAUGGACGAAAGCUAGGGGAGCG